CAAGCCGGACAUCACAAGGAGGAGUUACUAUGCUCUGAAGAUGGUAUUCCCCAGCAGUGCUCACCUCUCCAAAUUAAAGACCAUGGUGGAGCCUCCUAAGCUGGCCAAUUGCUACCCUGUAUUUAGGCAUCACAGAAGCUCCCAAAAUCUGUAACCCCAAAGUACUGAUGGAAC
Molecule: long non-coding RNA, 174 nt
Organism: Bombina bombina (fire-bellied toad)
Lineage: Eukaryota; Metazoa; Chordata; Amphibia; Anura; Bombinatoridae
Exons: 3
Source: RefSeq, a predicted model, not a curated record